GUUUGAUCCUGGCUCAGAACGAACGCUGGCGGCGCGCCUAAUACAUGCAAGUCGAGCGAGAAGGUGUAGCAAUACACUUGUAAAGCGGCGAACGGGUGAGGAAUACAUGGGUAAUCUACCAUCGAGUGGGGAAUAACCAGCCGAAAGGUUGGCUAAUACCGCGUACGCUUCCGAGUCUUCGGGCUUGGAAGGAAAGCCGCACUGUGAGUGCGGCGCUCUUUGAUGAGCUCAUGUCCUAUCAGCUUGUUGGUAGGGUAACGGCCUACCAAGGCUUUGACGGGUAGCUGGUCUGAGAGGACGAUCAGCCACACUGGCACUGCGACACGGGCCAGACUCCUACGGGAGGCAGCAGUAAGGAAUAUUGCGCAAUGGGCGAAAGCCUGACGCAGCGACGCCGCGUGGGGGAUGAAGGUCUUCGGAUUGUAAACCCCUUUCGGGAGGGAAGAUGGAGCGAGCAAUCGUUCGGACGGUACCUCCAGAAGCAGCCACGGCCAACUUCGUG
RNAcentral lists this ribosomal RNA (502 nucleotides) under uncultured bacterium. Its description in RNAcentral is "bacterial SSU rRNA". It matches the Rfam family "Bacterial small subunit ribosomal RNA", at positions 11 to 507 of the family's 1533-position model. The record is from RNAcentral.